AGAAUGAAAUGCAGCAAAGAGGUUGGAGAAAGCGCAACUGUUUUCCCUUUCCCGGAUCUUUCCGGCCGGGAUACAGAUAAAAUGGACAAAGAAUCAUGCAGAAAUUGUCUUCCGACAAAGGUUGCUGCUUUGUCCAAGGAAUUUGCUAAAUUUGGAGAGCAACAUCCAUGGAAUGGCUAUGUAGCAGAUUUAGUUCCUGUUCCGCGUUUCGAAGAGAAUUUUUCGGUCUACUGCGCCGUGCGCCGGGCCCGUUUCCUGCUGGAGCUAUAGAAUGCCAGGGAUCAGAUCAUUAUAUUCGCGCUCAGCUGGGCAUAGGGAGAAGCAGUCGAAACACCUAUUUAAAUCAACAUCCGGACAUCCGAACAUGGAGCUGAUAUCUAACAGGCGACAGGCUCUGGUGCUUCGAGUACUUGUUGCGGCUUCGGUUAGUUGUUGCUGCUGGAAGAGCUGUCCCGCGAAAAUCAAGAAAAAAAAAUUGAAAAAAAGUUGAAUAUAACAAGCUUUAUGAAUAAAAACUGAAUUACAUUUAUUAUGUGUAUUAUUCACAAAUGCAACCAAUCC
Long non-coding RNA from Uranotaenia lowii, 561 nucleotides. RefSeq lists it as uncharacterized. The record is from RefSeq and is a predicted model, not a curated record. Lineage: Eukaryota; Metazoa; Arthropoda; Insecta; Diptera; Culicidae. The transcript is spliced from 3 exons.